UACAGAGGGGGCAAGCGUUAUUCGGAAUUAUUGGGCGUAAAGGGCGCGUAGGCGGCUUGGCAAGUGGAUGGUGAAAUCCCUCGGCUUAACCGAGGAACUGCCGUCCAAACUGCUUCGCUUGAGACCGGGAGAGGUGAGUGGAAUUCCCAGUGUAGCGGUGAAAUGCGUAGAUAUUGGGAAGAACACCGGUGGCGAAGGCGGCGAGCUGGUCCAUUACUGACGCUGAGGCGCGACAGCGUGGGGAGCAAACAGG
RNAcentral lists this ribosomal RNA (253 nucleotides) under uncultured bacterium. Its description in RNAcentral is "partial 16S ribosomal RNA". It matches the Rfam family "Bacterial small subunit ribosomal RNA", at positions 524 to 776 of the family's 1533-position model. The record is from RNAcentral.